AGGGUUUGAUCAUGGCUCAGGACGAACGCUGGCGGCGUGCCUAACACAUGCAAGUCGAACGAGAUCCAACGUGGAGCAAUCCACGGGAAGAUCGAGUGGCGAACGGGUGAGAAACACGUGAGAAACCUGCCCCGGACUUUGGGAUAACACGCGGAAACGCGUGCUAAUACCGAAUGCCGUCGGCGGAUCGCAUGAUCCGCUGACGAAAGGGAUUCCGGUUCGGGAGGGUCUCGCGGCCUAUCAGCUAGUUGGCGGGGUAACGGCCCACCAAGGCAGCGACGGGUAGCUGGUCUGAGAGGAUGAUCAGCCACACUGGGACUGAGACACGGCCCAGACUCCUACGGGAGGCAGCAGUGGGGAAUCUUGCGCAAUGGGCGAAAGCCUGACGCAGCAACGCCGCGUGCGGGAAGAAGGCCUUCGGGCUGUAAACCGCUUUCAGCAGGGACGAAACUGACGGUACCUGUAGAAGAAGGAGCGGCCAACUAUGUGCCAGCAGCCGCGGUGACACAUAGGCUCCGAGCGUUGUCCGGAUUCAUUGGGCGUAAAGAGCUCGUAGGUCGUUUGUCGCGUCGAUUGUGAAAAUCUGAGGCUCAACCUCAGACCUGCAGUCGAUACGGGCAAACUAGAGUGUGGUAGGGGAGACUGGAAUUCCUGGUGUAGCGGUGGAAUGCGCAGAUAUCAGGAGGAACACCAAUGGCGAAGGCAGGUCUCUGGGCCAUAACUGACACUGAGGAGCGAAAGCGCGGGGAGCGAACAGGAUUAGAUACCCUGGUAGUCCGCGCCGUAAACGGUGGGCACUAGCUGUGGGUCCCUUCCACGGGAUCCGCGACGCAGCAAACGCAUUAAGUGCCCCGCCUGGGGAGUACGAUCGCAAGAUUAAAACUCAAAGGAAUUGACGGGGCCCCGCACAAGCAGCGGAGCAUGCGGCUUAAUUCGACGCAACGCGAAGAACCUUACCAAGGCUUGACAUAUAGCGAAAAGUGGCAGAGAUGUCAUGUCCGCAAGGGCGCUAUACAGGUGGUGCAUGGUUGUCGUCAGCUCGUGUCGUGAGAUGUUGGGUUAAGUCCCGCAACGAGCGCAACCCCUACUUUUAGUUGCCAUCAGGUCAUGCUGGGCACUCUGAAAGAACUGCCAGUGAUAAGCUGGAGGAAGGUGGGGAUGACGUCAAGUCCUCAUGGCCCUUACGGGUUGGGCUACACACGUGCUACAAUGGUAGUGACAAUGAGAUGCAAGGUGGCGACGCUAAGCUAAACUCAAAAAUCUACCUCAGUUCGGAUUGCACUCUGCAACUCGAGUGCAUGAAGCUGGAAUCGCUAGUAAUCGUAGAUCAGCGUGCUACGGUGAAUACGUUCCCGGGUCUUGUACACACCGCCCGUCACACCAUGGAAGUUGGUUCUACCUUAAAGCAGAUUGCUAACCGCAAGGAGGCGUUUGACCAAGGUAUAGUCAGCGACUGGGGUGAAGUCAUAACAAGGUAGCCGUA
Molecule: ribosomal RNA, 1483 nt
Filed under: uncultured bacterium
Lineage: Bacteria
Description: partial 16S ribosomal RNA
Rfam family: Bacterial small subunit ribosomal RNA
Source: RNAcentral